GGGAGUUAAUGCCUCCCCGUGCAAGAGAGUUAUAUCACGCAGCACCAGUGCGAGGUCAGCAGUCUGGCUGGGGCUUGGACGUCGCUGCGUGUGCCAACAAGCACCCCGGGCAGCCCUUGAGAGGGUUCCAAAUCCAGGUUUCAUUCUGCAGCCUGGAGGAUGCUUUGACGAUCGCCUUGCGAAAGGAAACUAGAAGCUGCAUCGGUGAUUCCCAGACAAGCCACGGGUUAGAUCACGGAACUCCCCCAGCUGGGAGCCCACCGAUGCAGUGACAAAGGGAGCCCGGCUGAGACCCUGCUCAGGUGAGGAAAUUGAAGCCCAGAGAAGGAAAACAAUUUUCCAAGAUUGGCAGCAGCACAAAGACGUGAUUUCAGAAUCCUUUCUUUCUCUGAUGGAUCCUAAUCAAGGAAACAGGGAGAAGCAGGCAGUUUACUGGGGGUGCUCUCCCUGAGCGCCUCUGGUGGAGAAGAUGCUCUGAAGAAGGAAAGUGUGGACACCCCUCCACAUGCCAAGAUACAGCCGUGGGUGAAAAGAAAACCACAGCGCAGUUGUCGUGAUAAAAGCCCGCAGAGACUGCCUUGCACACCCCAGGCCAGCUGAACCGACGUCGUCCUGGCCACCCCAGGUCUCGCAAGCUGCUGUUCUUAGAGCAUCUUAUCCAAGUCCAAGGGCAGUGAGGUUAUUACAAGAUAUUAAGCAGAGUUCCCUGUGCUCUACAAUCGAAAACCAUGUGCACCACAUUUUCCCAGACCUGAUCUUAAUGUAGAUAAAAGUGAGAAACCUAGAGGGGAGCCUGCUGUUGAAGCCCUGCAUUGUAUGCUCUAAUUUAAUCAUCGUGUGCCGCAGGAUUUCUUUGCAUAAAUUACAACCACAAUGAUAGCAUCACUUUCACAAAAGGUGGUCUCCGGUCGAUUCAACUCUCCAAGUCAUGGCCGGGUUGUUCAAAGCAGAGAAAGGGAGCCUGCGGUCUUACAGAGCUGGAGAAUGCACCUGGGGCUCGUGGUGGAGGCCAAUAGGGCGACACCUCCCUGCUCUUUGCCUAUUCAGCUCAUUUUCCUUUUCAUUUCGACAUCUGCUAACUGCUUGGUUUUUAUUUUCCGGGAAUAAAGGGUUAUUGGCAAUGGGCACCACCCUGGUGUAUGAAGGAGGGGGUUUCUAGGAAGACCCCCAGAGUGGAGAAGUGAUGGAGGGAACCAUCCACCUAUGAUGCCUCCCCUGGCCUCCUUUUUCUCCUCCUUUCCAUCCCCCCAUCCGUUGGUCAAACACAAUUUUUAAAUUAUCUGCAUUUUCAAUGCUCUUGGGUCUUCAUCUGGAAAAGCACUGUCCCUGUGCUGCUCUGAACAGUCCCGCACCCAUGGCCUCCCUUUUCCCAGGCUUAAAAUUGUCUCCCUCAGAACCUUGGAAGCAUGUUUUGUAAGCCCCUCUACAGAAGGCAGGCGGCUAGCCAGCUGUGCUUGUCUGCAUCGAGGUGGUCCCAGAGAGCUCUGGACAAUUCUUUGAAAGAACAGGGGUGGGAAGAUUCUCAGGACACAGGCAGCUCAUGUCUGUCCUUGGAGAUUUAUGUCACAAAGGACAUCUAAAAUAAAGAUAAAAUUGAAUCUGUGGAAACUGCUCCUGUUUCCCAAUGGAUUGAGUCUAGAGGAAAUGGGAUUUUUUUUUCACAAUUUUCCCAACAGAGUGAUUCUUUUAGUGCCAAAACCCUCGAAAGAGAAUGAAGCUCACAUAUCACACCUAUGUGUGUGCAACAGCAGGAACGUGCAAUGGAAAA
This is a long non-coding RNA of Orcinus orca (killer whale), 1768 nucleotides long. RefSeq lists it as uncharacterized. NCBI's taxonomy places the organism in Eukaryota, Metazoa, Chordata, Mammalia, Artiodactyla, Delphinidae. The transcript has 6 exons. The record is from RefSeq and is a predicted model, not a curated record.